UUCUUGUCAACGCCUCGUUCACCGCCCCCAGUGAAUCGUCUGGUCGCUGCUUCCUCUUUCACCUCCGAUAUGCCUCCGCCUCCACCUCCACCUACACCUCAUAUUCCUCUUCCUUCUUCUCUGCCUUUCUUUAUCUCUUCCUCCUACCCCGUCUCAUCUUCCUUCUCCGCUCCACAUAUUCCUGCCCCUAUGCAAGUCCUCCUCGCUCCUUUUCCCCCCUUUCUUGGUCUGGAAAGCAUCGGUCCAUACCCAGUGUCAGGAUAUUGAUCUGUAUCGAAAGCGUACUAGUUUGGCCGCUUAUCGGUAUUGACACCAGAUAACAAAAUUUUAAACCUUGAAUUACAGUCCGCAGUCCAGCUCUUCCGCAAUUACUGCUUUCUCGAAGAACUCGGUGAAGACUGGUUCUUUUAGCAGGAUUCUCCUGCUCGAAGGACCACUGACGAAACUGCUAUUUAGAAUCUUGUUGGAAGGACGAGUAGUGCUUGUGUUUGGCCUUGAGCCAAAUGAAUUCUCAUGUUCUGCUGUAAUCUGAGUUUGCACUUUUUUUCUUUCCUGCAGAGAGAAAAGAUGUUAUUGACAAUCCGGAACAAAUCCUCUAAACAAGGGGUUAAAAAUUGUUUGCUCUUCAGAACAAUCCUUUGCAGAACUUCUUUAGAUAUUCUUGUAUCCUUCAUCGAAUUGCACUAGAACUUACUCUUUGCCUUUGUUUCUCCUCCUCUUUUUCUUGCUUUAACAGAGUGUACUCUUUAAGCAUUGCCAUUAGAGGUACCUGUAAUUUUAUAAAGAUUGAUUAUAUAUGGGAUGAAAAAUUUCAGUUGCAUUUCUUUUAGUUGUAGUAUGAGAUAAUAGAAGUCUUAGGUAUUAAUAAAAGAUACAUAUGAUAUCAUAGUGUGUAGUUUGUUGGUUUGGUGCCUGAAAUUACCACAAUUUUGAUUGGUUUGUGGAAGUUUAUAGAAAGAAAAAAUGAAUUUGUGACAGAAAUUGACUGUGCAUGAUACAUAAAAGAAAUCAAAGUAUAGUUUCUGAAUUGAUUAUUCAAUUGACUGAUAAAAAGCAUACUUUAUGUCCUGCUUACAAGCUUAAAGUAUGUUUCAAAUGUCUCUGUAGAGCAAAGUGAACGUUAAAUUUAUGAUAUGUUAUGUAAAGAUUAGUGUAUUUCUCUAUGUGGAGGAAAGCAUGGAUUUUUGUGAAAGAGGUGCCAAGGAUUGCUAGGACUGAUAUAUUAUUCAUGUGAAAAAUGAGAACCAAACUGACGUGCAUCACUGAGGUGCAACACAUAUUUAACUGUGUGAAACCUCUUCAACAUCACACUGGAUGGAGUCAUUUGACAAAAUCCAAACCAAGAUCUUGUUCCUAGGUUUUCUCUCAGUGCCAUUCACAUUGUAAAGCCCAUCAAACUCGAGCAAGAUAACAACUAAGCAGGAAAGCUAACAUGAGUAUUUAUUCAUGUCAGCCUUCUUCUUGAACUUCACUACUUCAAAGAUUCUCUGUCAACUAUCAGAGUUAUUGAUCCAACUGUGCUCACAUUUUUCCUUUCCAUAUCAGUCUUUUUUUCUUUCUCUUUCACCGAAUAAGUCCCAGCAACUAUCUAUGUUAGCAGCAGCACCAGGGCCCAACUAUGCUUUCACAUUUUGCCUCUCCAUAUCGGUCUUUUUUCUUUCUCUUUCACCUAAUGAUUACCAGAAACUGUCUAUGUUAACAACUUGCCUUGACAUCUAUAUGGUGCAUGUCAACAACGGGAAUGGUUAUUCAAGGGUAAGUUGUUCGGUAUUUAAAUUCUUGGAGAGGACUAUUUUAUGGUUUGUAUUCAGGAUUAGCCUUUGAUUCAACUUGCAUUGACACUGCAUGAGACUCGUAGGCUAUUGGGUACCACUACAUGUGCUCUUGCACAUAAGUUGUAAGAUUGAAAGCAGAUUUGAAUUGGCUGGGAUGAUAUGAUCAGGCCUUGGGAUUGAUCGAAUUAGAAUGAUGGGAAUGAACUCGGAUGAAAAAAUAAUUUAGUAAUCAUAAAAUUAUAAGAAUUAUAUAUAAUAUAAAUGGUAGGGCACCACAAAACACAAAAUAAAUUAUGAGAAAAUAAAUAUAUUUUUUGUUAAGAAACCUCUUUAACAUCAUAAUUCAUAAUGUGUCUGUCUUUCCCAAAAAACAUAUGAAACUAUUAUAUAAAAUAUAAGAAGUUGUUGAAAAAAUAAUAAUGAAAAUGCUAGAGAAUAAUUCAUUAGAAAUAACAAUUGUAUAUAUUUUUAGAAAAUAAAUGUCAAUCAUAUUGUACAAGACUCUUAUAAUAAAUAACAAUUAUAUAAAUCAUAUAAAAGAUCCAAAAUAUAUCAUAACAAAUCAAGAGAAAACUGUUGGAUUAGUUCUGAAUCUUAUUACAAGAUAUCUAAGAUUAUUCUUUAUUCUUCUCUUUUUUUUCUCCAUAUAUCCCUUCCACUCUGUCAAAUGGUAGGUAAUGCAAUCAUGGUGUUAAUGACAAAUGUGAUGAUUGGGCUUUAAUUUUGUAUAAGCAUUUUGGUCUUGUAUAUGGAAGUUAUCCUAUAUGUUGACAAAUCCUCUUUUCCUAGUUCAGUUCAGGAACUUAAAUUUCAUCGCUUGUUCUAUAAGUCUACAGUUUUCCAUAAUACCUCAAUGACAACAAUGUUUUCCUGGUAAUUUUGUUGUUGUAAAAUCUCCGAGGUGAAUUUAUGCAACUGCAGCAUCAAGGCAGCAACUGUCUCUAUUAACUGCUAAAUUAAACUUUUUUCCUUAAAAGGGUCCUACGAAAGAAUGUUGCAUUUCCAACUGGAAAUGAUAUCUCCGUACAAUCCGAGAUCUGAACAUGGGAUAAUUUCAUCUCUUCUUUUUCCUUAGGUGAGCAAUAUCUUGGUCUUGCAUGCUCAUGUAGGCUGGAAACAUAUGCUGUGCUAGCAGCAACUAAUUUAGGAGAAAGAAAAAAGCAAGACGUUUAUAAAAGAGAAUAUCUUGAUUUGAUUUGCUUUGCUUUUGCAGAAAUUAAGUGAGAGAAUCAGAUCGACAUGGUUUUGUUAGCUUGUCUUGCACAUAGAAAGGAAGGAAAAAGAAAAAAGAAAUUUGCGGCAGGUGUGGAGCAUGUUGUGGUAAAUCCAUAUCAGCGAGGUUAUGCUACCAAGCUGGGAUUUAUUUCAUGCAACCCAUUUAUGUAGAUGUCAGGCAUAUUUCAUGUAAAGUUCUUAGUCCAUUUUGGUUAAAAAAACAGAAAAUUUAAUUAUUUGGAUACAAGGGUUUAAAUCUCAGUUACUAGAAUGGUACAGUACCAGUAUGUACUAGGUGAAAUGCCACCCAUACAGCCUGGUAUCACCCAAAAAAAAACCUGAACAUUAUUGAGAUAUAUGGUCUGACACCGGUCCUUGAUCAUACCAAUAAAUACUGGUUGGUCUGGUGCAUACAGACCAUACUUGAAAUCAAGCACAGUAACGACCAAUACUUGAAAUCAUAAUUGAAUAUAUGUUUGAUCAUAUUACAAAAUUAUGCAUCUACUUCAAGUGUAGCUAGCUUAGCUUUCAUGUUUGAACUUUAGUGGUUAAUUUAUUUUGCUGUCUUAGAUGCUUAUAGGCUUUGCAACAAGAAGAUAAUAGGUUUUAUGAUACUUGAUCCUUGCAUGCAUGAUUCUGCAAGUUGCAAAACUUGAUCUAUAAAAUGUCCUUUGCAAGUUAUUAAAGUCAUUUAAUUGCUUAAAUUUGCAUGCUCAUCAGUAAAAGUGGUGGCUAUGCUAUCAUGAGAAAGGAAACAAAAACUAAUUAAUUGCAUUUAAGUUUGUCUUUGGUAUUUUUUUUCCCAGAACAAGUCUUCUUGAGCAUCAUUUUGCAUCCUUCUAGCAGAAUAUUUUGAAGUAAAAUGUGAACUUAAAUAUGGUACUUAUUCCGGUAGAACAAUGAUGAAUAAGAUAAUAUUUGGAUAAAUUCAUAAAUGUAUUAAAGCAAUAGGUUCUUGCCUAACCUUAUCGUACAAGAAAUUUUUCAUCCUUUCCUCUUCCCAUAUCUCUGUCUUUGCCAUCAACAAUUCAACCAAAUCUGCAUUUUCUCGUUUUAGUCUAUCAUACAUCAUAUUUCUUAUUUAGCUAUAGUCAAUUCUUACCUGGAAUCUUGUUCACAAUAAUUCUAGCACGUUCUGCACGUUUCAAGUUCUUGUGAGCCCCUCUGCUCACUGAGUAACGGUUUUCAUCCUGUAAACAUCCAUAUGUCAAAAUUAGGAUUCCUCAUCAGCAAUAUUUAAUAGAAUUGUUAGCUUUGACAUAUGAGUUGAUGAAUUUGGAGAUGACCUUGCUGUAUUCUUCCAACCACUGUUCUUCUUCACAUGAAGCCAUCCAUUUUUCGACCUUCUCCAUAAUGUCCUUCCGGCUGCGUGCUUCUUCUUUUGCCUGGGAUAUAUGCUCUUCCAUAAUCACUAGGAGGUCAGCAUGGUCCAUCUCACCUUUGGUUCAAGGUUUUGUUGAGUGUCAAUAAGUUCAGCUACCAUUAAGAAUCAUUUAAUGAUGCAUCUAACUGAAGCAAGAGGCACACCUGACAUGAUGAGGUUCAUGAUUUUGUCCAUCUCUGAUCCUGAAGGUACUUCCAAAUGAGAUUUCUUGCAUAUUUCUCGAAGCUCACUGAGCUUUUUGAGAAAAAGCUCUUUCAUUUUGCUUGCUUUUAGCUGAUCCAGUCUCUCCACUUCGGACUCAACCUGGAUUGCAGUCAGAGCAGCAGUGUCAGUUAAGGAACCAUUAUAGACUACUAAUUUGUCUUUUUAAAACAGAAAAGGAAAUGCUUUAUCUGUAGCAGCAGUGUCAGUUAAGGAACCAUUAUAGACUACCUAAUUUGUCUUUUUAAUACAGAAAAGGAAAUGCUUUAUCUGAAGUUUGAUUUCUUAGCUUAAUUCUUUCUUUACCUGAUGGAUUAUAUCAAUGGAAAGGCUUCCUGGUCUUAAUAUGUGAUCUGUUGGAGCUGAUGACGUAUAUAUAUUCAUGUAAUAGAACUUCUGCCGGUCCUCAAUCGAUGUAUCCAUGAGAUUCCACAAGUUUGUCAAUGCUUUCCCAAGCUUGUAAAGCUGCAAAAUCAUUGUAUCUGUAGUUUUAGUGGAGUUGAUGCAAAGUGUACAAAAGGUGCAACAAUAAUGCUGAUGCAUAAAAGAUAUCUGCAUCCUCUGUUUAGUUCAUAAGGUAGUAUUUGUUUGAAACUAAUUAAAGAGCACUUAGAGGCUCGUUUUAUAUUUUCCUGUUGCAUCUCUUGUUUUUCCAAUAUUGUGCUGUCUUUUCUAAUUCAAUAAUCAUCUUUCCUAAUGUUGUGAGCAUUGUCAUAAAAUCACCAAUUCUUAAUCUUGAAACAUCAUUGACUCUAUUGCAGCAGUUCUGUAGCCUAAUUACAUUUGUUAAACAUGUAUAAUACGAAUCAUUUUGCUUUUAAUGUCUGGUAUAACUGUCUGGGGAUUAAUUUACUAAAUUAUAUGUGAGAGAGGCUCAUUUCAAAAUUUGUGGCAGUUAAACUCAAUCCAGAAAAUGGCUCUAUUUUCAUGGGUGAUCAAUGUCCAACUAAGGUUCAACCAUGGGUUAACUCCUAAUAUCCUAAUAAAAAUUCAAUUUUUCUCACACAAAAUAAAUAAAAAUUGCAAACUUAUUAUAUUUGGAAGUUCAAAAUUUGUGGAUGUUAGUGUACUUUUCUUUUGUUGCAAAGGAUACUAGUGUCAGAUAUGGAAAAUAUUUGUCUAAAUCUUCCUAUUAUUAUGCUUAUAAUUCUACUAAUAUUACAUUGGUGCAUAGCAUACAUCCAACUUGUACAAUCAAGAUCUCUUGAAUUGCUGUUUACCUGCCUCUGAAUAUCUUGCUUGUGUAAGUUUAUGGAGCACGAGGUGUAUCUUUGUGAGCUUGAAAGUGAUAAUCUGGUUUACAUUAUCACUAGUUUGGUAAGUCCAUCUGGUCACUUAUGGUGAAUAAGCUAGGUGUUAAUUUUUGUUAAACUAAGAGAUGGCAUACUGGUGGAUGGCUCAAGGGGAUGUCUCUCAAGCAUGAUGCUAUGACCCUGGAACCCCCUUGAGUUUACUUUCUAGCAUGAUUCUAUGAUCUAUGAUCAGCUUUAUGGUAUCCUGUUUUGUAUUUCUUGAAUAGGUUUGAUGUAUAUGGCCAACUUAUGAAUCUUUCUGCGAUAUGAUUAAUUAUAUUUAUUCAAAUUCUUUUCUUUGGUGAGACAUGCUUUAUGAAGUGCAUAACGUGGUAAUGUAGGGUGCUUUGUGAUGCAUUUAGAAACAGCAAUUCUGUACACAUUCAUUUUUUGUUAUUCCUGGUUCUGAGAUUUAGUUGUAGCAAUGGACCUAUGUUGGAAAAUAAACUCAUACCUUUUCUGUUCGCUUACGCUUCUCAUCUUUCAGUUGUUCCACUUUGCUGUUUAAUCUCUCUAAGAUGGUGUCACUUAUGUUCCUGGAUUGCUGUGCGGUUGAACCACCUAGUAAGCUUGGGUGAAUGUCACUGAUGAUCAUGGAAGCAUCCAUUCCCAUUGUUUCAGCAAGGUUUUGCACCACCUUUAUGUAAUCUUCUACUUUCCGGAGUCUAUCAUUCUUUCAGAGUGAAGAAUGGGUGAAAAUUAAUUGGAUGAUAUAUAGAAGAAAACCGACGCUACCAAGGUUAAAGCUACCUUCUCUUUAUGAAGUCUUUGGAGUUCAUUUUGGUGCUCAUCAAGCUUUUUAAGUGAGAGAUCUCCUUCGUUUACCAGAACAUCGCAAUCCGGUUGAUGACCUGCUACUUCAGAAGCAAUUCUUUGGAUUUGUGUCUGAACCUCCCGGAAUUGGUUCAUCCGCUCUUCUUUCCUUAGCUGCAUUUCAUGAAGUGCAGGAGUGAUUGCAUCAAGCUGCUGCUUCAGUGUACCUGUCAAUUUUUCAGGCUGCUCCAAGAGAAUUUAAGCUGGCUGCACAUUUGGUGCUAUUCUUUUCUUAUUAAAUAUACUAUCAAAAGAAGUCAUCUAUAUCUCACCCGGCCUGAGAAUGAUCGUUCCCCGAGGGACAGGAGAAGGUUAGUGAACUCAGCUUCUGAAUCAGCCAGUGCUUGAUGCAGACGAACUCUCAAGAUAUUUGCACUAUCAACUUUUCUUCUAUACAUGUCGAUACAUUCCUGUUCCAGUUCAAGCAGAAUCCUCUCUCUUUCAAGCUGAUCUUGCCCCACUUCAUCCCAAAUCAGCUGUUAGCAGUUGAUAAAAUGUUCAAAGAAAGUUCAGCUAGUAUCAAUUUCAAGAACCACUGAUAUGGAAAAACCCCAACCCAAACCUUUAGCUCUUGCAGUAGAUAGCCGCAGGAUGAUUCAGGGAUUGCUGAACUUGGGAAACCGGGAAACAUUCCGAAGGAUCCCAUCUCAUAAAUUCUGGAACAGUCUCAGGGAACAGUUUUGUCAAUGUAAGUUCUUCAAGUGGUUGUAAAACAGAGCAGAUUCCCCUGAUCAAGCAUUAUUCAAGGAAGAAAUUAGAGGUGUGGUAUAAAAGGAGGAGAAAGGUGGCAAAGCUGUGAUGGAUGGUGAAAGUGGCCUUCCAAGUUGGUUUUGCUUUGAAGACACGCAGCACAACAGUGAUGGUUCCUUUGAUGAGCUUCAAAGAAAAAUAUUAAUAUAUAUAUAUAUAUAUAUAUAUAUAUAUCAAAUACAAGUGCACAAGCUCGCUGGUUCCCUUGUUUUUGAAGGGCCAAUCUUCCUCACUGCUUUCAAUUGUUGACACAUCGUGUUACUGGAAGCUUCAAUCUGAAGGUUAAUGUGUUGGUAAAGCUUUACAAAUGUUUGUCUUCUUUUCCAAGGGAACAUACGGGUUGGCACAGAAGUGGAUCAGCUCCAUUUACUCGAGUCUCUGGAAUCAGCUGAUUUGCUUGUGAAGAAUGUCAUGCACUAGUUUGCUUCAAGAAAUGCCAAUUACUCCAUCAUUGAUGAGACUCGAAUGACAAUACGCACUUUAUUGCUUGUGAUAUGCCUGUGUUUGCACAUGCUCAGCGCAGCCAAAGUUGAGAUUCAUUGUAAAAUUGGUAUAUUUAAACAAAAAAAAAGAAGAAAAUGUUACAUGUAUGGGUUGAAUAAUUAUGCACAGAGCUAGCUGAUAUA
Long non-coding RNA from Musa acuminata AAA Group (dessert banana), 8056 nucleotides. RefSeq lists it as uncharacterized. The transcript is spliced from 3 exons. The record is from RefSeq and is a predicted model, not a curated record. NCBI's taxonomy places the organism in Eukaryota, Viridiplantae, Streptophyta, Magnoliopsida, Zingiberales, Musaceae.